CGGAUUUGAUUUUUCAUGCUAUGGAAAAGGUGAAGGUGAUUUGAUAUAGGAUUAUGGCUGCCCUAAUUCUCAAAAGUCCUAUGUAGAUGUAAGGCGUAGAGACUUAGAGUUUGAGGUUGGAAAUAGGUAUUCCUAAGAGUACACCCACAAAGGGAAUGAUGGGUUUGGUAAAAAGGGGAAGCUCAGUCCCCAUUAUGUUAGUCCUUAUGUGGUCUUAUAGAGGGU
RNAcentral lists this long non-coding RNA (225 nucleotides) under Capsicum annuum. RNAcentral's name for it is "long non-coding RNA (CANN_LNC015715)". Lineage: Eukaryota; Viridiplantae; Streptophyta; Magnoliopsida; Solanales; Solanaceae. The record is from RNAcentral.